UAGUAUACAGUGUGUCACUGUCAUAGUGAGAGCUGUUAUGGAAAACAAUACAUGAAGAAACGACAUCGGUGCUGCAGAUAGACCAUAUCGCUGCCAUAACAUGGGUUCAGACUGGAAAAUUAUGCCGUUUGCCUUUCAAGUUAUAUAGCUUUGGGUUUGCAGACUAAAAGUUUUAGUGAAAUGCUGACAGCAUACAGGUCUAUCCCUGCCUAAGCUAUAGCAUGAGAAUGGACUUGAUGGCAUGAAAUGAAAAGAUACCAGUUAGAAGAUUCCUGAAUUUCAUAUCA
Molecule: long non-coding RNA, 287 nt
Organism: Lingula anatina
Lineage: Eukaryota; Metazoa; Brachiopoda; Lingulata; Lingulida; Lingulidae
Source: RefSeq, a predicted model, not a curated record